AAGUCGUAACAAGGUCUCCGUUGGUGAACCAGCGGAGGGAUCAUUAAAGAGUUGCAAAACUCCCACAAACCAUCGCGAACGUUACCCAGACGUCGUUGCUUCGGCGGGCUCGCCCGCCGGGGGGACGCUACCAGACUCUUGCAGUUCUUCGGCCUCUCUGAGUACGAUUUUUAAAUAAGUCAAAACUUUCAACAACGGAUCUCUUGGUUCUG
RNAcentral lists this unclassified non-coding RNA (212 nucleotides) under Pseudorhypophila marina. RNAcentral's name for it is "Zopfiella marina partial internal transcribed spacer region". The stretch from base 1 to 46 matches the Rfam family "Eukaryotic small subunit ribosomal RNA", at positions 1786 to 1831 of the family's 1831-position model. Lineage: Eukaryota; Fungi; Ascomycota; Sordariomycetes; Sordariales; Naviculisporaceae. RNAcentral also lists the same sequence under 2 other names. The record is from RNAcentral.